This 57-nucleotide microRNA precursor is filed under the name Scyliorhinus torazame (cloudy catshark). RNAcentral's name for it is "Sto-Mir-101-P1-v2_pre stem-loop". It matches the Rfam family "mir-101 microRNA precursor family", at positions 11 to 67 of the family's 75-position model. Rfam says of the family: The hairpin precursors (represented here) are predicted based on base pairing and cross-species conservation -- their extents are not known. In this case the mature sequence is excised from the 3' arm of the hairpin. Lineage: Eukaryota; Metazoa; Chordata; Chondrichthyes; Carcharhiniformes; Scyliorhinidae. The record is from RNAcentral.
CAGUUAUCACAGUGCUGAUGCUGUUCAUUCUCAAGGUACAGUACUGUGAUAACUGAA